This 45-nucleotide non-coding RNA is filed under the name Trichobilharzia regenti. The record is from RNAcentral. Lineage: Eukaryota; Metazoa; Platyhelminthes; Trematoda; Strigeidida; Schistosomatidae.
AUCCAGUUGACGAGUCACAAAUAGGAUGAAAUGUGCAUCCUGGAU